RNAcentral lists this transfer RNA (111 nucleotides) under Tuber melanosporum Mel28. RNAcentral's name for it is "tRNA-Met for anticodon CAU". It matches the Rfam family "tRNA". Rfam says of the family: Transfer RNA (tRNA) molecules are approximately 80 nucleotides in length. Their secondary structure includes four short double-helical elements and three loops (D, anti-codon, and T loops). The record is from Rfam by way of RNAcentral. Lineage: Eukaryota; Fungi; Ascomycota; Pezizomycetes; Pezizales; Tuberaceae.
GUCUUCAUGGCUUAGUUGGUUAAAGCGUCGGUCUCAUAUUUACGCAAGGUAUGACCCACUCUUCAGAUUUGGGAUAUCCGAAGGUCGCGAGUUCGACUCUCGCUGAGGACA